UACGUAGGGUGCAAGCGUUGUCCGGAAUUAUUGGGCGUAAAGAGCUCGUAGGCGGUCUGUCGCGUCGAAUGUGAAAACCUGGGGCUCAACUCCGGGCCUGCAGCCGAUACGGGCAAGCUAGAGUUCGGUAGGGGAGACUGGAAUUCCUGGUGUAGCGGUGAAAUGCGCAGAUAUCAGGAGGAACACCGGUGGCGAAGGCAGCUCGCUGGGACGGUACUGACGCUGAGGCGCGAAAGCGUGGGGAGCAAACAGG
This 253-nucleotide ribosomal RNA is filed under the name uncultured bacterium. Its description in RNAcentral is "partial 16S ribosomal RNA". It matches the Rfam family "Bacterial small subunit ribosomal RNA", at positions 524 to 776 of the family's 1533-position model. The record is from RNAcentral.